This 219-nucleotide ribosomal RNA is filed under the name uncultured bacterium. Its description in RNAcentral is "partial 16S ribosomal RNA". It matches the Rfam family "Bacterial small subunit ribosomal RNA", at positions 111 to 334 of the family's 1533-position model. The record is from RNAcentral.
UAAUGUCUGGGAAACUGCCUGAUGGAGGGGGAUAACUGCUGGAAACGGUAGCUAAUACCGCAUAACGUCGCAAGACCAAAGUGGGGACCUUCGGGCCUCAUGCCAUCAGAUGUGCCCAGAUGGGAUUAGCUAGUAGGUGGGGUAACGGCUCACCUAGGCGACGAUCCCUAGCUGGUCUGAGAGGAUGGCCAGCCACACUGGAACUGAGACACGGUCCAG